This is a non-coding RNA of Thamnophis sirtalis, 2335 nucleotides long. Lineage: Eukaryota; Metazoa; Chordata; Lepidosauria; Squamata; Natricidae. The record is from RefSeq and is a predicted model, not a curated record.
CUGACUUAGACUAUCUUCUCAUUAAUAAAUAACUUUCACUCAAGGGUUUCACUUGGGAUUUGGUCAAAUACUACCUCUUUUGAUACGCACACCACCUGCACAAAUACAAUGUGAAACUGAACUAAAAUCGUUGCUUUGCUACCUUAAUGCUCAUCUGCUUAAACCUACCAGGCUAUAAGUGUAGAAUGGUUCACAGGAUCUAUUAUCACCUACUCUCUCGUUGCUUCUGUACCUGGGAAUACUCAACAACACUCAUACGGGCAGCAGACCAAUUGUGUGAAUGACGCCUCCAAGAGUUGGUAUUUGGAACUGUGAUGUAUUCAUCAAGAAAUAGGCAUUAGCUCUUCAUUUAUCACCUCAAUACAACCAACAACGAAGAGUGAUGGGAACUGUAAAUUCUUCAACUCUAGGCAGAAGCUAGUCAAGAAGUCAAAUGACCAAGAGGAACCAAUCCCCAGCCACUUCCACAUUGCUUCUUCUGGUCUGUCUGCUUGUCUAUCACUGCCCAUUGCUGCUCUAUUAGAGCUGUUUUUCAUUGUUUUGUGGAAGGAGGUUGUGUAGAUUGCCUAAGCCAAAGAACCUCCUAAUUAAUUUUGCUAUUGGUUGCUAAUGGAUCCCUCUGUCCAUGUAUUUCCAUGUAUAAUUGUAAAAUAACUACCAUACAGCAAUCUCAGUAACUAGCUACUCUUUGCAAGAAGGUUCGAUCAAGGAGCAUUGAACUACGAAAGCAUCACAUUAUAGUCUUGGUUGCCACAUCCCUCCACCAACUUGGAACAAUCCCCAAGUUUACAAGCAUGCUGGGGCCAUACUUAGUUUGGUGGCACAGGAGAAAAAAACAAAAUGUUCGGCCAUAAAUCAUGAAUGGGAAAAGCUUCUAUGCAAAUGACCCCUUGGUUUUCACGUCAGACGGCUCUGUUUGCAAGCUUCUCGGGAGGAUUUGAUUGCUGCAGGAAAAAAGGAACCACAACGCACCCAAACAAUGCAGUUAACUCUCCUGACAAAAGCUAAAGGAAGUCUGUUCUGUGCUGCACAGCUGCAGAAUAUUAGCCUCUAAGACUUCUGUGGCAUUAAAACCCAAGGCCGACACACCCAUAUUUACAGCACAUAAUGUACUGUACUGUGACCUGUGCCAAGAAACUUAACCUAUCUACUUUGGCAGAAAAACCAAGUCAUACCAGGUUAAUCCGAUUCUUAAAUUGCACAACUUCUAUACAACUGGAGGGAAACCAAACCCUUCCUUUCCCCCUCCUUCCAAUUUUUCUCUCUCAGUUCCCUUCCCAACCAGCACAGUGGCCUCAUUUUUCUCCCUGCUGAGUGCUUGCAUCUCACUUCCAAAACAAUAACAACAAGCAUAGCUGUCCUUAAUUCCUUCGGUAUUUCCCAAAUGGAUUAUUAGAAAAGAAGUGCACAGCCUGGGGAAUGCCAGUGAGCAUGAAUGAUGGGCAUAUUCCUCACUUGUGACACGCAGAAGAGCUCUGGAGCAAACUGAGUUUAACCCAGGCAGGGAACAUCAACCAGUCAUAGUGACAGCUGAUACACUAUGAUGAUGAGCAUACACGGGGCACAUCAGCUUUCUUCCACUCACUAUGGAUUGAGUGAUCUCUAAAACAUGCAAUGUGGGAGAAGAUAAAUGGAUGUAGAAAACACUCAACCUUGACUGACAUUUUGGAAAGAGAGAGAGUGGAAGAGGAAUAUGAGGACACAAGAAUUUGCCUGAAUUCUUCUUCCCUGUUCAGGUGCAUCUACAUUCUACAACUAUUGUAGGGGUCUCAAAACUUGAGAACUUUAAGAACUGACUGAGGAAUUCUGGGAGUUGAAGUCCAUAAGUCUUAAAGUUAUCAAAUUUGGAGACCCAUGAUUUAUUGGAACUGUAAUACAUGUUGGCUGAGAAUUAUAAUUCACCCGAGGGAAGACAGGGUUGGAAAAGUCUGAUCUGGACCUCCCUAUCCACCAAGAAAUAUACAAAUCCCUGUCCAUAAAGCAAGACAAUUGUUUGCUCUUGUGUAGAAUUAUUGAAAGUGGGACAUUCAGAGUCUCAACCCUUCUCCUCCACAUAAGCCUUUCCACAGAUUCUAUAUUACCAAACCCAUAAUCACUAAUGCACCUUUCCACAGAUUCAAACAACAUCUCAGCAUCUUCAAGUUAAGUCACCUGUGAGAUCAGGCAGAGCGGGCACAUUUCUGGCUUUGUUGAUUAUACAAUGUCACCUUAUGAGACCCAGGAGAUGACUUUUUCAGUAGGUCUGCCCUCUGCCAUGACAUCCUUCUUGAGAUCUAUGUUUCCCCCAACUUAAUAACUAGUGGUUGCUUGACUUAAUCUUCCUGUUGGCAGGUGG